AAUGAACGCUGGUGGCAGACCUAACACAUGCAAGUCGAGCGGUAGAGAGAAGCUUGCUUCUCUUGAGAGCGGCGGACGGGUGAGUAAUGCCUAGGAAUCUGCCUGGUAGUGGGGGAUAACGUUCGGAAACGGACGCUAAUACCGCAUACGUCCUACGGGAGAAAGCAGGGGACCUUCGGGCCUUGCGCUAUCAGAUGAGCCUAGGUCGGAUUAGCUAGUUGGUGGGGUAAUGGCUCACCAAGGCGACGAUCCGUAACUGGUCUGAGAGGAUGAUCAGUCACACUGGAACUGAGACACGGUCCAGACUCCUACGGAGGCAGCAGUGGGGAAUAUUGGACAAUGGGCGAAAGCCUGAUCCAGCCAUGCCGCGUGUGUGAAGAAGGUCUUCGGAUUGUAAAGCACUUUAAGUGGGAGAGGCAGUAAUAUACUUUGCUGUUUGACGUUACCGACAGAAUAAGCACCGGCUAACUCUGUGCCAGC
RNAcentral lists this ribosomal RNA (480 nucleotides) under uncultured bacterium. Its description in RNAcentral is "bacterial SSU rRNA". It matches the Rfam family "Bacterial small subunit ribosomal RNA", at positions 29 to 512 of the family's 1533-position model. The record is from RNAcentral.